This 257-nucleotide ribosomal RNA is filed under the name uncultured prokaryote. Its description in RNAcentral is "partial 16S ribosomal RNA". It matches the Rfam family "Bacterial small subunit ribosomal RNA", at positions 524 to 780 of the family's 1533-position model. The record is from RNAcentral.
CACGUAGGGGGCGAGCGUUGUCCGGAAUUACUGGGCGUAAAGGGCGCGCAGGCUGUUAUGCGAGUCUGCUGUGAAAUGUACCGGCUCAACCGGUGCCUUGCGGCGGAUACUGCAUAGCUGGAGUACUGGAGAGGGAAGUGGAAUUCCCGGUGUAGCGGUGAAAUGCGUAGAUACCAGGAGGAACACCGAUGGCGAAGGCAGGUCUCUGGGCAGUAACUGACGCUGAGGAGCGAAAGCAUGGGUAGCGAACAGGAUUA